GCCACAGCGGGAAGCCAGGCGGCGACGCCGAGCGGAACCCGAAAAGCCGUCUCAGUUCGGACUGGAGUCUGCAACCCGACUCCAUGAAGCUGGAUUCGCUAGUAAUCGCGCAUCAGCCACGGCGCGGUGAAUACGUUCCCGGGCCUUGUACACACCGCCCGUCAAGCCAUGGGAGCCGGGAGUGCCUGGAGUACGUGACCGCAAGGAGCGUCCUAGGGUAAGACCGGUGACUGGGGCUAAGUCGUAACAAGGUAUC
RNAcentral lists this ribosomal RNA (256 nucleotides) under uncultured bacterium. RNAcentral describes it as "partial 16S ribosomal RNA". It matches the Rfam family "Bacterial small subunit ribosomal RNA", at positions 1236 to 1500 of the family's 1533-position model. The record is from RNAcentral.